CCCUUAGAUGUUCUGGGCCGCACGCGCGCUACACUGAUGCAUUCAACGAGUCUAAAACCUGCUCUGAUAGGGGUGGGUAAUCUUUUGAAUGUGCAUCGUGAUUGGGAUAGAUGAUUGCAAUUUUUCAUCUUCAACGAGGAAUGCCUAGUAAACGCAAGUCAUCAGCUUGCAUUGAUUACGUCCCUGCCCUUCGUACACACCGCCCGUCGCUCCUACCGAUUGAAUGAUCCGAUGAAUAUCAUGGAUUGAGGAUGCAAGUAGGUUAGCCUAUCUUCAUCUUCGAGAAGUGAAGUAAAUCUUAUCAUUUAGAGGAAGGAGAAGUCGUAACA
This 329-nucleotide ribosomal RNA is filed under the name uncultured eukaryote. RNAcentral describes it as "partial 18S ribosomal RNA". It matches the Rfam family "Eukaryotic small subunit ribosomal RNA", at positions 1470 to 1796 of the family's 1831-position model. The record is from RNAcentral.